AAGAACCAGAACACAUAUCAGGGACAGAUCACAAAUGAAAGAGACUACAGCUAUGGGAAGAGUCAAGCUUUUGAGUCUUUCCUGGGAUCUCUGAAAAAAGGAGUUGCAAAAACACCUGCACUUGGUUGACUUUCUCUUCUCCUAAAGAUACAGGAUCAGUCUCAGGCCAUGGACCUGGCAACCCUACACCUGGAGCUCCCUGAAAGAAAGGAGCAGAAAAAUAAAACCCAUUGAUGGAAUUCAGCAACGUGUGGAGGACCCCAUAUUGGCAAUCCCUGAUGUGGUUGUUCUUGCUCAAGAAAUAUGACACAAUAGCGGGCAGUCGAAAACUCAGCAGAACAACUAGAUUUAUAAGCUCACAAUCAUUACAAAGAACAACUGAGAAGAAGAAACCAGUCGUCAGUGUACUGCAGUCUUUGCAGUGGCUUCCAGAUUCUGGUUUAGCUCUUGUUGUGACUGCAUACCUAUGUGUGGGCUGCAUCAUUUUAGAUUGAAGGUAGGGCCUCAAAUGGUGGGAUGCUUCUGUCCAUUCUUGGCUGCUGAGGAUAGAGCCCAUCCUCUGAAUGACUGCUCUUCUGAACCAUCCAGACUCAUUACACUCCCUGGAUCAGAGAACAUCCCCUUGCAAGAACACCCGAUGUCAGGUGAUUGACAGGCAGCGUUUCGCCAUCAGAUCAUAGUCACUCAUUGUUGCAGCUAUGGCUAUCUGCUGACACAUGGUCCAGUAAAUUGUUAACCAACAAUUUUUGUAGAACACAAAUGUUCCUACUUUUGUGCAAGGAAUUUGCAGGAACACACUGGUGGGCUCUGCCCUAAUGACGCAUCCAGUCAUUUUCAACCAUUGUGAAGAUAAUGGCUAUGAUCCAGAAGAGUCAAGUCUACUGUGCAAGAGAUCUGCCUGCGAAUUCAUCAUUUUCUACAUAAGCAGCAAAUCCACUAGGCAUGAGAAGAGCUGCAUAGAAAAUUUACACGCUACACAAAAACAGAGUGAAACUGUGUCUAGAAUCCAUGGGUUAAAAAGUGGGGUGGAGAAAGGUUCAUUGUAGAAGUGGCUGGUGGAGGAAAGAUGAAGAAUAUAAGGAGAGCCCUGCUGGAUGAGGACGAAGGCUCUCUAGUCUAGCAUUGUAUUCUUUCAGUGGCCAACCAGAUGGCUAUGGGAAGGCCACAAGCAUGUCAUUUCCCUUGGCAACUGACAUUCAGAGGCAUACUGCCAUCACAACUAGUGGCCAUUGAUAAUCUUAUCUUCUAAGAAGUUGGUCUAACUCCAGUUGAAAGCCUUCCACACUGCCAUAACUACAGCUUGCGGCAGCAGAUUCCAUAGUUUAGCUGUGCACUGUGUGGACAAAUAUUUCCUUUUGUCUCUCCUAAAUUGUUUCUGGCAUUUCUCCCUCCCAACCACUUCAAGUUGCUUCUUCCCAAACUGCUUUUCUUUAGAAGAUUCCAGUGGAGGUUGUGGCAUGCAUUUGUAAGAGAGCAGGGACUAUAUAGGCGAUAGGUGCCCUCCAUAGCCUGUUGGACUUCAGCCCAAGUGAGCAUGGCUGAAUGGCCAGGGAUGAUGGGAGUUGUAGUCCAGCAACAUCUGAUAUAGACUGGUUACUUCUGAUAUAGACAGCUCACUGGUAUGCAUAUGCUCAGGGCCUACUGAGGCUCUUAAUUGCUGAAUUCAUGUCAUAAAAUUAUGGACACAGUGCUGUAAAACACUUAGAGCAAUCUCCCACCUGACUUUUCCAGUGGGCUGAAUGUUCACACCUGAAGCUUAGGAGCUUGCUUUAUUCCAAUAAAUGAGUAUGGUGGUGUAAGUUUAGGAUUGACUCUUGGCCAAUUUAUUAAACAUAAUCACUUUUCAAAAGAGCCACAGUGCAGUCUCUUCCAUGUUUAUUUAUUAAGAAAAUGUCUUAAUUGCUUUGCAUUCAGAGAAUCUCAAAGCCAUGUACAAAAACUAAAAAUCAAAUACAACAGAACAGUGGUUCCCAACCUGGGGGCCGGGACCCCCAGGGGGGCUGCGAAGUAAUCCAGAGGGGGCUGUGAACAGUAAAGAAAUGAAUUAUUUAUUAAUUUUUUUAAAACGAGAGGGGAGGCCUUUUGCUGAAGCACCAGAGCGUCUUUCAGGAGCACUAAGGGCAGGCAUCUGCCUAUAAAAUACAUGGCAGAUGCCAAAGGAGGCUGAGGGUGGAGCUACCAGGAAGAAGAGGGGAUUACUAUCACUGAUUCCCGUCUCCUUGCACUGCCGCUACUGGCAACACCCUUACUUAGAAUGAGAGGAGAGGGCUUUUUGUGAAGCAAAAAGAAGCAAGCCUGCAUAGAAAGGCUGCUUUGCCCCUUCCUUCCUGGCAGCCAGUCUGCCUCCCUGAGGGGAGGGGGUCACAUUUUUUUUCCAGCUUAUAAAGGGGGUCCCGUGCUCAUAAAGG
Molecule: long non-coding RNA, 2408 nt
Organism: Rhineura floridana
Lineage: Eukaryota; Metazoa; Chordata; Lepidosauria; Squamata; Rhineuridae
Exons: 6
Source: RefSeq, a predicted model, not a curated record